This 248-nucleotide ribosomal RNA is filed under the name uncultured Oscillibacter sp. RNAcentral's name for it is "partial 16S ribosomal RNA". It matches the Rfam family "Bacterial small subunit ribosomal RNA", at positions 524 to 771 of the family's 1533-position model. Lineage: Bacteria; Bacillati; Bacillota; Clostridia; Eubacteriales; Oscillospiraceae. The record is from RNAcentral.
UACGUAGGUGGCAAGCGUUGUCCGGAUUUACUGGGUGUAAAGGGCGUGCAGCCGGGACUGCAAGUCAGAUGUGAAAUCCGCGGGCUUAACCCGCGAACUGCAUUUGAAACUGCGGAUCUUGAGUACCGGAGAGGUUAUCGGAAUUCCUUGUGUAGCGGUGAAAUGCGUAGAUAUAAGGAAGAACACCAGUGGCGAAGGCGGAUAACUGGACGGCAACUGACGGUGAGGCGCGAAAGCGUGGGGAGCAA